This 1529-nucleotide ribosomal RNA is filed under the name Bacteroides fragilis. RNAcentral's name for it is "16S ribosomal RNA". It matches the Rfam family "Bacterial small subunit ribosomal RNA". RNAcentral also lists the same sequence under 1 other name. The record is from RNAcentral. Lineage: Bacteria; Pseudomonadati; Bacteroidota; Bacteroidia; Bacteroidales; Bacteroidaceae.
ACAAUGAAGAGUUUGAUCCUGGCUCAGGAUGAACGCUAGCUACAGGCUUAACACAUGCAAGUCGAGGGGCAUCAGGAAGAAAGCUUGCUUUCUUUGCUGGCGACCGGCGCACGGGUGAGUAACACGUAUCCAACCUGCCCUUUACUCGGGGAUAGCCUUUCGAAAGAAAGAUUAAUACCCGAUAGCAUAAUGAUUCCGCAUGGUUUCAUUAUUAAAGGAUUCCGGUAAAGGAUGGGGAUGCGUUCCAUUAGGUUGUUGGUGAGGUAACGGCCCACCAAGCCUUCGAUGGAUAGGGGUUCUGAGAGGAAGGUCCCCCACAUUGGAACUGAGACACGGUCCAAACUCCUACGGGAGGCAGCAGUGAGGAAUAUUGGUCAAUGGGCGAUAGCCUGAACCAGCCAAGUAGCGUGAAGGAUGAAGGCUCUAUGGGUCGUAAACUUCUUUUAUAUAAGAAUAAAGUGCAGUAUGUAUACUGUUUUGUAUGUAUUAUAUGAAUAAGGAUCGGCUAACUCCGUGCCAGCAGCCGCGGUAAUACGGAGGAUCCGAGCGUUAUCCGGAUUUAUUGGGUUUAAAGGGAGCGUAGGUGGACUGGUAAGUCAGUUGUGAAAGUUUGCGGCUCAACCGUAAAAUUGCAGUUGAUACUGUCAGUCUUGAGUACAGUAGAGGUGGGCGGAAUUCGUGGUGUAGCGGUGAAAUGCUUAGAUAUCACGAAGAACUCCGAUUGCGAAGGCAGCUCACUGGACUGCAACUGACACUGAUGCUCGAAAGUGUGGGUAUCAAACAGGAUUAGAUACCCUGGUAGUCCACACAGUAAACGAUGAAUACUCGCUGUUUGCGAUAUACAGUAAGCGGCCAAGCGAAAGCAUUAAGUAUUCCACCUGGGGAGUACGCCGGCAACGGUGAAACUCAAAGGAAUUGACGGGGGCCCGCACAAGCGGAGGAACAUGUGGUUUAAUUCGAUGAUACGCGAGGAACCUUACCCGGGCUUAAAUUGCAGUGGAAUGAUGUGGAAACAUGUCAGUGAGCAAUCACCGCUGUGAAGGUGCUGCAUGGUUGUCGUCAGCUCGUGCCGUGAGGUGUCGGCUUAAGUGCCAUAACGAGCGCAACCCUUAUCUUCAGUUACUAACAGGUUAUGCUGAGGACUCUGGAGAGACUGCCGUCGUAAGAUGUGAGGAAGGUGGGGAUGACGUCAAAUCAGCACGGCCCUUACGUCCGGGGCUACACACGUGUUACAAUGGGGGGUACAGAAGGCAGCUAGCGGGUGACCGUAUGCUAAUCCCAAAAGCCUCUCUCAGUUCGGAUCGAAGUCUGCAACCCGACUUCGUGAAGCUGGAUUCGCUAGUAAUCGCGCAUCAGCCACGGCGCGGUGAAUACGUUCCCGGGCCUUGUACACACCGCCCGUCAAGCCAUGGGAGCCGGGGGUACCUGAAGUACGUAACCGCAAGGAUCGUCCUAGGGUAAAACUGGUGACUGGGGCUAAGUCGUAACAAGGUAGCCGUACCGGAAGGUGCGGCUGGAACACCUCCUUU